Molecule: non-coding RNA, 167 nt
Organism: Arachis ipaensis
Lineage: Eukaryota; Viridiplantae; Streptophyta; Magnoliopsida; Fabales; Fabaceae
Source: RefSeq, a predicted model, not a curated record
GGGUUAGAGUGAUUCCUAAAGCUCUGUUGCAUCAUGAGAUAUCUGGAGAAACCUUUGGAGAAGUGCAAAAAGUUGCAAACAUGCAUGAAAGGAAGUCAAUAAUGGCUAAACAUGCUGAUGCAUUCAUAGCUCUUCCUGGAGGCUAUGGAACAAUAGAAGAGUUGCUA